GAUGAAGAACGUAGCAAAAUGCGAUACUUGGUGCGAAUUGCAGAAUCCCGUGAACCAUCGAGUUUUUGAACGCAAGUUGCGCCCGAAGCCUUUUGGCCGAGGGCACGUCUGCCUGGGCGUCACGCAUCGCGUCGCCCCCCACAAUUCUCUGUAAAGGGAACUCGUGUUUUGGGGGCGGAUAUUGGUCUCCCGUGCUCAUGGCGUGGUUGGCCGAAAUAGGAGUCCCUUCGAUGGACGCACGAACUAGUGGUGGUCGUAAAAACCCUCGUCUUUUGUUUCGUGCUGUUAGUCGCAAGGGAAACUCUAAGAAAACCCCAACGUGUCGUCUUUUGACGGCGCUUCGACCGCGACCCCAGGUCAGGCGGGACUACCCGCUGAGUUUAAGCAUAUCAAUAAGCGGAGGA
RNAcentral lists this unclassified non-coding RNA (404 nucleotides) under soil metagenome. RNAcentral's name for it is "partial contains 5.8S ribosomal RNA, internal transcribed spacer 2, and large subunit ribosomal RNA". The stretch from base 1 to 122 matches the Rfam family "5.8S ribosomal RNA", at positions 35 to 154 of the family's 154-position model. The record is from RNAcentral.